UCCCUGGAGGACUAGUGGUUAGGCCACACUGCUCUCACUGCUGCGGCCCGGGUUCGAUUCCCAGCCAGGGAA
This 72-nucleotide transfer RNA is filed under the name Pangasianodon gigas (Mekong giant catfish). RNAcentral's name for it is "tRNA-Glu". It matches the Rfam family "tRNA". From Rfam's summary of the family: Transfer RNA (tRNA) molecules are approximately 80 nucleotides in length. Their secondary structure includes four short double-helical elements and three loops (D, anti-codon, and T loops). Further hydrogen bonds mediate the characteristic L-shaped molecular structure. tRNAs have two regions of fundamental functional importance: the anti-codon, which is responsible for specific mRNA codon recognition, and the 3' end, to which the tRNAs corresponding amino acid is attached (by aminoacyl-tRNA synthetases). tRNAs cope with the degeneracy of the genetic code in two manners: having more than one tRNA (with a specific anti-codon) for a particular amino acid; and 'wobble' base-pairing, i.e. permitting non-standard base-pairing at the 3rd anti-codon position. Lineage: Eukaryota; Metazoa; Chordata; Actinopteri; Siluriformes; Pangasiidae. The record is from RNAcentral.